This 228-nucleotide ribosomal RNA is filed under the name uncultured bacterium. Its description in RNAcentral is "partial 16S ribosomal RNA". It matches the Rfam family "Bacterial small subunit ribosomal RNA", at positions 568 to 795 of the family's 1533-position model. The record is from RNAcentral.
UGCGUAGGUGGACCUAUAAGUCAGGGGUGAAAGCCCACAGCUUAACUGUGGAAUUGCCUUUGAAACUGUAGGUCUUGAAUGAGGUUGAGGUUAGCGGAAUGAGUCAUGUAGCGGUGAAAUGCAUAGAUAUGACUUAGAACACCAAUUGCGUAGGCAGCUAACUAGGCCUUUAUUGACGCUGAGGCACGAAAGCGUGGGGAGCGAACAGGAUUAGAUACCCUGGUAGUC